UACGUAGGGGGCGAGCGUUGUCCGGAUUUAUUGGGCGUAAAGAGCUCGUAGGCGGUUCGGUAAGUCAGAUGUAAAAACUCCAGGCUCAACUUGGAGAGGCCAUCUGAUACUGCCGUGACUAGAGUCCGGUAGAGGAGCACGGAAUUCCUAGUGUAGCGGUGAAAUGCGCAGAUAUCAGGAGGAACACCAGCGGCGAAGGCGGUGCUCUGGGCCGGAACUGACGCUGAGGAGCGAAAGCGUGGGGAGCGAACAGG
RNAcentral lists this ribosomal RNA (254 nucleotides) under uncultured bacterium. RNAcentral's name for it is "partial 16S ribosomal RNA". It matches the Rfam family "Bacterial small subunit ribosomal RNA", at positions 524 to 776 of the family's 1533-position model. The record is from RNAcentral.